UCCCACGUUUGGCGGGAUGCCCUUUUUCUUAAACUCCCCAACCCCCAAAUUAGUCUCUCUCUCUCUCUGCUCCCGUCUUCGAUCUUUAAUUAUCUCUUUCAUGGCGAGAUUUCGACCGCGAGCUCUCGAUCGAUUGUGAGUAGUUCGGUUGUCGUUGGUAACGAUUGUCGCGGGGCAUUCUUGAUGAUGAUUGGUGUGGCUUCGCUUGAACGGCAAGCAGCAGAUCCAGGAGUAGGAUGUUUAUGACAUCUGUGGUUGUUUCGGGAAGAUACAACCGGGCUUUGGUUAGGAUUGUAGGUUAAAAUGCUUACAUUAUGUGCUCCAGUUCCGCUGAUUCUCAGGAAAGGGCAUUAAUUGGAAAAAAAGUGCAAUUUUUUGCUGAUAAUUAGCUGAUCGUGCACGAUGUCGCGGAUUCCCAAGUUGAAGAUUGAAAAGACUAAAGUGAAAGUGGUUUUUCGUCUACAGUUCCACGCUACACACGUAAGCUUUGGAUUUUGUA
Molecule: long non-coding RNA, 499 nt
Organism: Dendrobium catenatum
Lineage: Eukaryota; Viridiplantae; Streptophyta; Magnoliopsida; Asparagales; Orchidaceae
Exons: 3
Source: RefSeq, a predicted model, not a curated record